CUAAACUGCUCAGUAACUUGAAGGCUCUUCGAUUUGCAUAUAUCUUUCAACAAUGUGAACCUUGCUUUGCUGAAUUUAACAGGAAUAAUGAAUAUUGAAUGAUCAUGAUUUAAUAUACUACCAACUUCUAGUUUGGGUCGUUUGCCAUAGUGCACUUUUUCCACAUUAGCCAUAAUCCAUAAAUAUUUACAGUUUUACACUUCGGAACACAAAUCACAACUGAAUGACAGAAUGAGC
This is a non-coding RNA of Paramuricea clavata, 237 nucleotides long. Lineage: Eukaryota; Metazoa; Cnidaria; Anthozoa; Malacalcyonacea; Plexauridae. The record is from the annotation of a GenBank genome assembly.